GGCAGUGCUACAGAUGUCAGCUUACG
This 26-nucleotide small RNA is filed under the name Bombyx mori (domestic silkworm). Its description in RNAcentral is "ovarian small RNA-17382". The record is from RNAcentral. Lineage: Eukaryota; Metazoa; Arthropoda; Insecta; Lepidoptera; Bombycidae.